UCAACCAUCAAGCUUGGGCUUGCCGUUGAACCCACCCGGACGGGAGGGUUCCAAAGUCAGUGGCGGGGCGGGUUGGACCCUCGAUGCAACGAGCUGUUUUAAAAACCAGCAAGCACCGACGGGGCCGCCGGCCGCCGGCCUUUUUCAUACUUCUAA
RNAcentral lists this unclassified non-coding RNA (156 nucleotides) under uncultured Eurotiomycetes. Its description in RNAcentral is "sequence contains ITS2". Lineage: Eukaryota; Fungi; Ascomycota; Eurotiomycetes. The record is from RNAcentral.